ACAAGCCUGUGAUGAAACAAGUUAUCCCUGUCUGAACAACAGUGUUGACUUACUGAAACCCCUGAGGCUUGA
Molecule: small nucleolar RNA, 72 nt
Organism: Hucho hucho (huchen)
Lineage: Eukaryota; Metazoa; Chordata; Actinopteri; Salmoniformes; Salmonidae
Source: Ensembl